AAAUAUAUUGAUCAGUUGUUAUAUCUUGAUGCGACAAUUAAUUUUAUUAAUGCUUGUUUGGAGACUUUCUGCAGGAUAAAGACAACAUUUGAUGUUAAGGAUUUUAUUUUUGGUGGUGAGAUCAUGUUUGAGAAAGCGGAAACUCCGCCUUUUACAUAUUCUUUUUGGAGGUAAAAAGUCAAGCUAAUGACUCUAAAAGAGCGCUACUUGGGAGGCAACCCAAGGUCUCUAUUAGUUUAUUUAUAUAAUAUAUUUUUGUAUUUUUUUAGGAGCUUAAAAUUUUUAUUUUCAUUUUUUUUACUCCCAUAAGAUGCCUUGAUGAAUUUGUGUGAAGUGUUUUCAGAUAUUAUAUCCAAUCACUCAUGCGGCUCCUUUUUAAAGUUCUAAUAGUUGUGGCAGUAGAUGAAAAAGAAAGGCAAAAAUAUUGAGCUUGUAGGAUGAAUGCAUGAGAAAGAGAGAAAGGAAAAAAAAAAAAAACAAGCUCUCUGUGCUUAAAAGAAAGAGCCGCGGUGCUGCCAAAUCUAGCUGCGGCUCCAAACCUUCUGACAUAUGCGCGCGCUUUCUGUGCUAUUUAGUAAACAGUAGAAGAAGAGCUGUGGUGCUGCGAUGUCUAGCUGCGGCUCCGGAGCUUCUGCCAAAAGCGUUGUUUGUUCCAUUUGGAAACAAUUCAACAGCCCGGCCCAUAUACCUCAUUGAAGUCCAGAAGCCCAUGCACGGAGCCCACAGUCCAACAGUCCAUUUGAAGUCUGGUGUUAUUUAAAAAAGAAAUGAGGCUUCAGGGAGUUGAUCCCUGUACCUCUGGAGAGGAGAUUUACAUGACACUUUCCAACCAGUGUGACAAUUGCUGCACUUGCUCCAAAUAUGCAUCCACUUCAACAAAAAAUUAAGAAUCCAAGAUCAAUUCAUCACCAGGGGAGUAUUCUAUUUUCUUUUCCUUUCUUUUUUCUUUUUCUUUUUUUCAACUUAUAUUAUAUUAAUAUAUUUAUAUAUAUCUAUGGCAUAUUUGUUCAUUGAGGACAAUGAACCACUUUAGUGUGGGGAUGGUUUCUCAAUGAUAAAAAAUUAAAAAAAAAUUAUUUAUUAUAAAAUUCAAAAAAAAAUAGGAAAAUUAGAAAUAAUUGUAUAUUGCCAUGUUUUAAAUUAGGAAAUUCAUGUUAGUUGCAUUUAAAUUAGAGCAUGUAGUUAUUAUUUUGUAUGCAUUUUUUUUAGUAGUUUUUUUUUUCCAUUUAGCUUGCAUACUUCAUGAAUGUAAAUAAUACCAAGUUAAUUUCUCGUGAUGAUUUUAUUUGCAUAAUUUCUUGGCUAGUAGUCUUGAUCAUAUGUGAUGUCUUGCAUGCUUAGAAAUUGCUUGUGCGGAAAUUUUAAUUACACUAUAAAAUGCUCUAGAGACAAGACUUAGGCUAACUUAAUUCUUGAGUUUUAUCUAUGAGUCGAGUGUAGAAUUUUGACUAUUCCCUUUUGAGCUUAGAGUAUGUAAAUCUUAAGUUUAGGGGAGCUUUAGGAUGUAUAUGCCUUUCUUAAAAAAAAAAGAAAAAAAAAAGGAAUAGUGCAAAAAAAGUAUCGAGUACUCCUUUGAGAUCAACGGGUGGUAAAUCUUGAAAAGGACUAUCCAUGUACUUGUGCUGGUAUUAAGUGCAAUUGUACUAGAAAUAAAUUUUCUUGGUGACUUUUCACAACCCUUGGUUACUGGAGAAUUACUUGACUUUGAAAAAAAAAUAAAAUAAGCUAACGAAGUCUUAUGGUGGUCGUAACUCACUUAACUUGAGAAGCUUCCCAACCUUUGACUGAGCGUGAAAAAAAAAUCAAAAAAAAGAGUAGAAAAUAUAAGAGAGGCAUAGAAGUUCUUUUGCGACCCUGAGCUGUAGUUGACUCUAAUGUAACGAAGUGUUUAAGCAUUAUUCUGAUUGACGACUCAUGGUUAAGACUCUGUUGAAGUUUGUUGGUCUAUAUUUUGUUUCACUAGAGGGCAUGUUCAGCACACACGACGCACUCCGUACUUGCAGUGGAAGAGUUGUAUGACUAAUAUGUGAUCUAGAUGAAUGCCUUGAUUGUUGCAUAUUCUGAGGAUAUAUAUUGACGAGGUUGAUGCUUUCAUGAUUUGUUUUUAGGUCUAUUCAUUUAGAUUGCAUUCAUAGUAGUUGCAUAUUUAAGACAUGGUAGAAAAUAAUGAAUUUUGUGGGUAGAUUCACUAUAAACCCUCACGAGACAAAACUCGUCCUACUAGGGCUGCCUAGGGGUUUAACGGCUUGUUGCAUACGCUCAAUGCAAUCGUGUCAUCUACGAAAGUGGUGUUAGUUAGUUAGGAUUUAGUUUAUUUCGCUUAUUUGCCUGAGGACGUGCAAAAGCUUAGUGUGAGGAUGUUUGAUAGAAUAUAUUUUUAUAUAUAUUCUAUAUGAUUUUAUUCUCAUAUUUAAUUAUAUUUUGCACUGAUUUGGAUAUUUAUUUAAUAUAUUUUCAUGUUUUAUUGUAGGGAAUAAAGAAUUCCAAGUUGAGAAGGAUUUGAAGAUAAAUUAGCUAUUUUGGAGCUAAAUUCUAUUAAAAUUCGGAUUUAUUGGGUUCUACCCGAUUUCUACACUGUUUGGGCCAUAUCUUGAGUUCCGGGUGUCAGAAUUGGACGAUCUUACAGCCCACGCGAAGCUCUUGAAAUUCUCUUUAAUUCAGAAGUGGUCCAAGAAGCAAAGUCCAACUGUAAAGGCCCGAAAACUGGACAGAACAGAAAGCUGCGAAUUUUGAGACUAAAUCCUACUUGGUUUUGGAGUUUUAUUUAUAUAUUAGUUUUAAAUAUUAAAAGACUAUAUAUUAUUAGAUAGAGGAUUAAUUUGAUCGUUGUACAAUAUUAGAUUAGAAUUAGGGUUAGAGAGAGAAGGAGGAGACCAUGACUUUUCUUGAUGUGACAACAUUAAAGGUUCAAGGUUUUAUCAUCUAAAUCUCUUUUCUUCUUGUUAGUUUUAUUAUGUCUUUUGAUUGUCUUGGUUAUUUUGUUUGUUUAGUUAUUAUUGACUAGUGUGUUCUAGGGCUUAAGGGGAAGCCAUGUUUGCACUAUGAUAUUGGCAUGAUUUUCAUAGUGAUUUGAUUUGUUGUGGUAAUUCUAAUUGAUAUGUUUUAAUAUUGAUUUGUGUAAUCGGCCGAUAUCAUGAAUUGAUACUAUGCGAAUAGGAGUAUGAUCGAGAGAUAUAUUACUAGAGGCACACAUACAAUUAGCAGAAUUGAAUUUGAAUGCGAGAGCAUCAUUGGAUUUCUGAAAGCGUUAAUACUCGAGAGAGAUUAACAAUGCUUUAAUUACCUGAUUAAUUGGAUUACUAAAAGUGAUUAUUUGUGUAAUCAUAUUUCGAGAGUGUUGAUGCUUGAGAGAGAUUAACAUACUCUUGUUAUUUGACCACUUUAGUUGCUUUACCUUAGAGCUAGUCAUUGUGUGAGCAUGGUGGACCUGAUUGCCCUGGACUUUUAACAUAUUAUUUUAGUGUCUUUUUAGUUAGUGUAAUUUAAUUGUUUUAGUUAGUUAGUUAAAAUAUCUUUGAUAAUCGUUUUGAUCCGGAAACAAUUGACUUUAACUGAAUAAAAAUUGAUAGCAUCUGUCUCCUUGAGGAUACGACCCGCAUUUGCCAGUCUGCACUACAACAGACACCGUGCGCUUGCGGUUAGUUAUAAAAUAACACAUCAAGUUUUUGGCGCCGCUGCCGGGGAGACGGCUAGUUUCUAUUAGUUUUGUUUGGUUAUCUAGAUUGUUUCCUUUGCCUUGUUGGAACCCUUGUUCCAAUUGAGGCGGAUUUUACUCUGUUUUCUUGGUUGUGUUGUGUUUUUCAGGUUUACAAUGGACGGAGUUGAUAACUUUGCUCGUCUAUCUUCCCUGAUCGAGGCAUAUACUCGUGAAAAUGCCUCAUUGAAUGCUACAGAGCCCACUACACGUCCACUGAGUAUCAACGAGAUGUCACAAGCUGCCCCGAAGACUUAUAACUUCUGUCAAGUUUGUGGUGUUCAGGGUCACUAUGGUUAUGAAUGCAAGUACAAUGUCUUUAAUUCUCCAAAUGCUCAGUUGGGACAAGUGAAUGAUUGUCAAGAAAGAUAUGAGUACAAUCACUAUUCUAAUUCUUGUGAUCAACAAUGGAUGGAUCAACAAGAUUUCUCUUACAUGGACAAUGAAUUUCAGAAUUUUUCAUAUCAUGAUCAACAACAAUUUCAGCAACAUCGUUAUGAAGAACCACCACUACAGCAAUAUGAUCAGUUUGAGCAGGAAUAUCAUCAACCUCAAUAUGAGCAACCUCAGUUUCAGCAGUAUCACUAUUCUCCACUUCAACAAGAGCUACAGGUUCCUUUAACCAAUGUAGAUGUGCCAUCGUAUCAGACGAAUGAAGUAUGUGAUAUGUUGAUAUAUAUGACCAAGAGUUUUGAGGAUGGUAUCAUGAACUUCCGGAAAUGCAUUGAAGAGAGUACCAUGAUGAUUAAAGAAUUAAAAGCUGAACAACUGAUGAUGGAGGGUCAAAUUGCACAAUUGGCUAGUUCUUCUUCUACAUGGCAAACCGAAUCCUCUCUACCUCCAUGUCUUCAAGUUGAAGAUGACAUAAAUACUAUCAUUCUUGCAAGUGAUGAAGACUGUGAUAGUUUUUCGAUCUGUGAUGAUGAUGCGCCUAUUGAUAAAGGGGAGGAUCAUGUCAUUGCCAAUGAAAUUGUUGAUGUUGUGGACCAUGUGCGUGAUGAUGAGCUAAGUGAAGAAAGCAAUAUCGAGUUGGUAGCAGUUUCUCCUCCGCCUCGUGUGCUUAAAUUACCAUUCUUGAAAGGAAUCAACUUAAUCAAGGUGGAUCAACAAUUUGAUAUGAAAAACUUUGCUUUUACUCGAACCUCAGCUCCAAUAUUUGAGAGCACAUGUUUUAAAGUUGAUGUGAUGAUUGUCCAAGAUGAGAUUUCUCAGAAUAUUUCCUAUGAUCCAUUUCAAAAGGCUCUUACACCUCAAGUCUUGGAAGAAGGUGUUUGCAAUAUUGACUUUUUAUUCAUUGAAGCAAGAAGAAGCCAAGAGAUUCAACUAGCUCCUGCGAAAGUGAGGAGUUCUGAAAAAUCACCACCGGAGCCUCCACCUCAUGUGAAUAUCAAGGGAGUUCAAUCUUUUGAUGGAUGUGAAUUCUAUCGUUGCUUUAUCACAAAGUUCUCCAAAUCUAUGAAAUAUAUUGAUCAGUUGUUAUAUCUUGAUGCGACAAUUAAUUUUAUUAAUGCUUGUUUGGAGACUUUCUGCAGGAUAAAGACAACAUUUGAUGUUAAGGAUUUUAUUUUUGGUGGUGAGAUCAUGUUUGAGAAAGCGGAAACUCCGCCUUUUACAUAUUCUUUUUGGAGGUAAAAAGUCAAGCUAAUGACUCUAAAAGAGCGCUACUUGGGAGGCAACCCAAGGUCUCUAUUAGUUUAUUUAUAUAAUAUAUUUUUGUAUUUUUUUAGGAGCUUAAAAUUUUUAUUUUCAUUUUUUUUACUCCCAUAAGAUGCCUUGAUGAAUUUGUGUGAAGUGUUUUCAGAUAUUAUAUCCAAUCACUC
This 5514-nucleotide long non-coding RNA is filed under the name Daucus carota (carrot). RNAcentral describes it as "long non-coding RNA (DCAR_LNC004405)". Lineage: Eukaryota; Viridiplantae; Streptophyta; Magnoliopsida; Apiales; Apiaceae. The record is from RNAcentral.